CACCAUACCUGUCUCGAUUGAAUUUCUCCCUAACCACAAUAGUUGCAAAGUGAAUUCUUCACUUUGCACUAAAAAUACUUGUAAAGGAUUUUUGAAAAUUUCGAGUGUCAUUUUUAUAUAAUUAUUUAAACCUUCCCAGGAGCAGCUGCAAAGGUUGGGUCUAAACAAAUGUAUAAAAUUCACACUCGAAAUUUACAUCCAACUCGAAAAUCCUUCGACAUUAGUUCAAUAUCGAAUCAUGUCCAAAAGUCCUGAUAUUUCUCUCACAUAAGUGCACAAAAUUCGUGACAACUUUCUCGCUAACUCAGUGAGCGGCGGAAAUGCUCAAAAUUUGAGAAUUUUAAAAUCCCGCUGGAGACAUCGAAUUUUAUACGUUUUUCUCUGCAAUGUUAGGAUUUGAAUACUUACAUCAAGUACUGUUAUUUUCUCGUACUGUAGCGAUGAAUCAUGAGUUAUGAUAACUUCGGGAUUGUAUGAGAUCUCGUCUUGAUUACUUAGAUAAAUGACUGCUGUGAGGACUUUUGUUUUGCCUAUUGUGAUUUCUUUCAUGUCGGGACUAGAAAUAGAGAAGACAUAUUGAAUAUAUAUAUAUACUAAUUAUAAUCUUAAAAUUUUAUUAAUCGCUACACAGUGUUUCACGCUUUCAAAGCGAUCUUCAGGCG
Molecule: non-coding RNA, 662 nt
Organism: Paramuricea clavata
Lineage: Eukaryota; Metazoa; Cnidaria; Anthozoa; Malacalcyonacea; Plexauridae
Source: the annotation of a GenBank genome assembly